RNAcentral lists this ribosomal RNA (1209 nucleotides) under Triticum aestivum (bread wheat). RNAcentral's name for it is "partial small subunit ribosomal RNA". Lineage: Eukaryota; Viridiplantae; Streptophyta; Magnoliopsida; Poales; Poaceae. The record is from RNAcentral.
AUGGCAAAGCCCGGCAUUCUAGGCCGGAGCAGCAGCAUGCCAAGAUCAAAUGAAGGCAUGAGGCUUGUAUUCUCAGCAGUUAUCGGUAUUAUGCUAGGUUACUUGUUUGGGAUAUCCUUCCCCACAGUCAAUAUAACCAAGCUUCAUUUCCCUUCCAGUAUUGUUUCCUAUAUUGAAGAUAGAAACUCCGGAAUCACAACCCAAACAUUGUUGAACCAUGCAUGGACAUCUGCAAACAGUCACAAGAAGAACAAUUCUGAUUCCAAGUCUGAUGAAAUUCCUAAGAUUUAUGUUACCUCAAACCCUAAAGGUGCUGAAAGGCUCCCACCAGGUAUUGUCGUAUCUGAAACAGACCUCUAUCUGCGAAGAUUGUGGGGUGAACCUAGUGAGGAUCUUACUAUCCAGCCAAAGUACCUUGUUACAUUUACAGUUGGAAUUGCGCAAAAGGCAAAUAUUGACGCAGCAGUCAAAAAGUUCUCGGAGAACUUCACAAUUAUGCUGUUCCACUAUGAUGGUCGGACUACUGAAUGGGAUGAAUUUGAGUGGUCAAAAAGGGCCAUCCAUGUGAGUGUUAGCAAGCAAACUAAGUGGUGGUAUGCCAAGAGAUUUUUACAUCCCGAUGUCGUUGCCCGGUAUGACUACAUAUUUAUCUGGGAUGAGGAUCUAGGUGUUCAACAUUUCAAUGCAGAGGAGUACAUCAAGCUUGUUAGGAAGCAUGGGCUGGAGAUCUCUCAACCUGGUUUGGAACCUGAUAGAGGUCUGACAUGGCAAAUGACUAAGCGGCGUGGUGAUCGAGAAGUUCACAAAGUAACCGAGGAGAGGCCAGGCUGGUGUUCGGAUCCCCAUCUGCCACCGUGUGCAGCAUUCGUAGAAAUUAUGGCAACUGUGUUCUCUAGGGAUGCAUGGCGCUGUGUAUGGCAUAUGAUUCAGAACGACUUGAUCCAUGGAUGGGGCCUCGAUUUUGCUCUUAGGAAAUGUGUGGAGCCAGCUCAUGAGAAAAUUGGAGUUGUUGACGCUCAGUGGAUUGUUCAUCAGGGUGUUCCAUCACUUGGUAACCAGGGCAAGUCGGAGAAUGGAAGAGCACCAUGGGAAGGGGUAAGAGGGCGGUGUAGAAAAGAGUGGGGGAUAUUCCAGGCAAGGCUGGCCGAUGCCGAGAAGAAGUAUUACUUGGAUCAAGGGAUCACGCCGCCGAAUUCGACUUCAGUCUAG